GAUAAACGCUGGCGGCGCACAUAAGACAUGCAAGUCGAACGGAAGUCGUUAUAAAAAGGAUUGAAGAUUUAUCUAAUUGAGAUUUUAUAACAAUGGCUUUAGUGGCGGACUGGUGAGUAACGCGUGAGUAACCUGCCUACUAGAGGGGAAUAACAGUUGGAAACAGCUGCUAAUACCGCAUAAUGCAACGGAAUCGCAUGACUCUGUUGCCAAAGAUUUAUCGCUCUGAGAUGGCCUCGCGUCUGAUUAGCUAGUUGGCGGGGUAACGGCCCACCGAGGCGACGAUCAGUAGCCGGACUGAGAGGUUGGCCGGCCACAUUGGGACUGAGACACGGCCCAG
RNAcentral lists this ribosomal RNA (340 nucleotides) under uncultured bacterium. RNAcentral's name for it is "bacterial SSU rRNA". It matches the Rfam family "Bacterial small subunit ribosomal RNA", at positions 28 to 334 of the family's 1533-position model. The record is from RNAcentral.